CCUACGGGAGGCUGCAGUGGGGAAUAUUGCACAAUGGGGGAAACCCUGAUGCAGCGACGCCGCGUGAGUGCAGAAGUAUCUCGGUAUGUAAAGCUCUAUCAGCAGGGAAGAAAAUGACGGUACCUGACUAAGAAGCCCCGGCUAACUACGUGCCAGCAGCCGCGGUAAUCCGUAGGGGGCAAGCGUUAUCCGGAUUUACUGGGUGUAAAGGGAGCGUAGACGGCAGCACAAGUCUGGAGUGAAAUGCCGGGGCUUAACCCCGGAACUGCUUUGGAAACUGUGCAGCUAGAGUGCAGGAGAGGUAAGUGGAAUUCCUAGUGGAGCGGUGAGAUGCGUAGAUAUUAGGAGGAACACCAGUGGCGAAGGCGGCUUACUGGACUGUAACUGACGUUGAGGCUCGAAAGCGUGGGGAGCAAACAGGAUUAGAUACCCGUGUAGUC
This 440-nucleotide ribosomal RNA is filed under the name uncultured bacterium. RNAcentral describes it as "partial 16S ribosomal RNA". It matches the Rfam family "Bacterial small subunit ribosomal RNA", at positions 338 to 795 of the family's 1533-position model. The record is from RNAcentral.